RNAcentral lists this long non-coding RNA (1661 nucleotides) under Marmota monax (woodchuck). The record is from RNAcentral. Lineage: Eukaryota; Metazoa; Chordata; Mammalia; Rodentia; Sciuridae.
CUAUCAGAUGGGUCCCCAAAUCUGCUUUAUCUCAUUUUUUUAAAAAUAGCUACUUUCUACUUCUUCAAAAUCAUAAAUCUAAUAGUAAAUCUGUUCCACUUAAAAAGCAUCCCAGGAGUUCCAUACCAGAUCAGUCUUCAGGCAAAGGAAAAUAAAUAAAUAAAUAAAUAAACUUCUAGAACUAAACAUCAUCAUAUUAGUAUCAUCAUCAUUUAGUAUCUCUUAUGAAGAAUUGCAUUAGGACAAAAUCAUGUUACAUAUUUGCAUAGUUCCCUGAAAAUUCCUUAAACAGAUAUCAGUUAUGUGCUAAGUUACAUGAACUCAGUUACUUACACAGAACUGAAAAGCAAAACCACUGUGAGAGUUAGAAUCCAUAAAAAUGAUCUCUUUCUUGAAAGAUGAAAAAGUAUAUAAAACAUAAAUAUGUUCUGCACCUCCCUUGUUUCUGAUUUUUUUAAGGUGCCCUUUAAUAACUUGAUAUUUCCUUUGGAUGUGCAAUCUGUGGCAUUCCAUCAAAUCGAAAAUGCAUGAAUUUAGUUAUAUGUAUUUUUGACAUUGAGAGAAAAAGCUUAAAUAGACAGAUGGCCUGGAUUGACAGAAAUAUUGAUGACUUCAGGUGGGCUAUAACAAAACUGAAAUGGUUAACUCAUAUUGUUAGAAACUAUGAUGUAGUUGGGCAUAGUGCCUCAUACCUGUAAUCCCAGUGACUUGGGAACUCUAGACAGAAUUGAAAUUUCAAGGCCAGCCUCGUGAACUUAGUAAGACCCUAAGCAAUUUAGUGAGACCUUGCCCCAAAAUAAAAAAUAAAAAGCACUGGGGGUGUAGCUCAGUGAUAAAGGACCCUUUUGUACAAUCCCCAGAACCAUAAAACAGAACUACUAUGUUUUGGCAGUCUCCAAUACUUACCCAACUUUGAGUUACUUAUGCUACAUAAUAGAGCAAAUUAUUUAGCCAUCUAGAAGCAUUAGUUUUGUAAUACUUUGUCUUAAAGCCAUCAAUAGAAGCUUUCAUGCUCAAAGUUAGAUAUUCUGAGGGUAUUUUUUUUUUGAUGAUUAAAAUAACUGCAUUAGGUAGGUGUUUGUUAACAGUUGUGUCAUAGCUUUUCUAGGCAAAAACAUUCUUAGUUGUGUUCACUGGCAAAACCUUGGAGGUCACAUUGCCCUUAUCUGUAUUAGAAUGGAUCCAAGAUUGUUUUCUGAGGAAAAUCUUGGCCUAGCCCACAAAUAUUUUGUCUAUUUCCUUAACUUUUAUAAAACAUUAACCCUAGUUCUGAUGGCUGCUUGUGCAAAUUUUUGAAAUAAUAGCUCUAGGUUGCUACCACCACUCUCUGCUUUCUAGGCAUGAUCAGACAUGCUCAGUUGUGAGAAGUCAUGUUUAUGCAGAAUUUCCUGAAAACUAUGCACUCUUUGAAGCCAUCUAAAUUUUAUUUUCAGAUUUAAGAAAAACCCUUAGAACUCUCUCUUUGGCUAGUCUUCUUUUGGCUCCCCCUAAUAUUACUUUUACUGGACUGCAGUCCAGGAUCACUCAAACAUUCUAAGUUCAGUGACUGCAGAAGUGGCUGCGGGACCCCCACAACAGUUUUACAGCUGAGACAACUGCUCACUCAUCACACUGUGUUCUUGCACUGAGCACUUGCAGAAAUUCAGUACCACAAAAAACUG